This 301-nucleotide ribosomal RNA is filed under the name uncultured bacterium. RNAcentral's name for it is "partial 16S ribosomal RNA". It matches the Rfam family "Bacterial small subunit ribosomal RNA", at positions 509 to 807 of the family's 1533-position model. The record is from RNAcentral.
CAGCAGCCGCGGUAACACGGAGGGUGCAAGCGUUAUCCGGAUUCACUGGGUUUAAAGGGUGCGUAGGCGGGCAGGUAAGUCAGUGGUGAAAUCUCCGGGCUUAACCCGGAAACUGCCGUUGAUACUAUCUGUCUUGAAUAUAGUGGAGGUGAGCGGAAUAUGUCAUGUAGCGGUGAAAUGCUUAGAUAUGACAUAGAACACCGAUUGCGAAGGCAGCUCGCUACACUAUUAUUGACGCUGAGACACGAAAGCGUGGGGAUCAAACAGGAUUAGAUACCCGCGUGGUCCCUGUCUCUUAUAC